GGGAAAUAUUUUUAGAAAAUUUUUUAGAAGCAUAAAACACCAAGAAAGUGUAAAAAAGGUAUUUAAAACGCAAUUAAAAAGCAGUUAAAAAAAAACUCAGCAGGAUUUAAUCUGGACCGUUGGAUGAAUCCAGAGGUCCAGAUCUAGCCCUCAAGAUCACAUCACAGCCACUUGAUCAAAGAUCAAAGGGUCCAGAAAAAGGCACAAAAGAUAGUGUAAAAUGCAGGAAGCACAGUGACCGUUAGAUCAAAGAUCUAACGGUUCAAACAGAAGAUAUACCAUAUUUCACACAAAAAGUCAUGCACAGGAUUCAAAAUCAAACACACAGCAGCCAUCAGAUCUUGGAACAAUCCAGAUCUGAUGGUUCACAGAGCGAGGGAACACAACAAGAGCACGCACGCGCGCGCGUGGGAUCGGAGGGAGUAUAAAAAGGAUUUCUCUCACAAAAAUCUCACAAUUUCUUUCCUCUUCUCUCUCUAAGUUAAACUUAGAGAGAGAAGCUCUCACUUCUCUCUAAAAACAGCCGGUCGGAGCUGAUGUGGAGGUGGCGGCCGGAGCUUUUCCGGCGCGGUGGCCGGCCGGUUUCCGGCGGCGGCGCCACCGCGUCGGAAUUUUUUUUUUUUUUUUUUUUUUUAAUUUUUAUACCAAAAGCUUCGUCUCCUCCUCCUCUACUCAAAUCCGGUGCUAGUUUUAAAAAGGGGUGAGAGAUUCGUCGUAGAUCUACGUUUGAACUUUCGGAAUUUUUUCACUCUUUUUGUAAAAAAAGCUUACGGAUCUAGAUAUCCUUUUCGCUCUAGAGUCCGAAUCCGGCCUCAAAAUUUCAAAAAUCCGAACGUACAAGCCUAGAUCUACAAAUCUUGAUUCGUAACAAACUUUUCACAUGUGUAUAUGCGCGAAAACGAGGGAAAAAAGUGUUACCGUCGUCGUGAAACGGAGAAAAAAAAAAUCCGAGCCUCCUCUUCUCUCCGCCGCGCGCGCGCGGAUUUGCUCCGGUGGUGCCGCUUUUGCUCGAAAAUCCGGUACGGAUUUGGUGUUGGUGUGAUGAUUCGCGGUGGUUUUGAAUGAUUCCGGUUCGGAUUUGUUGAUUUUGUGAUGAUUUGAGUUGGUUUUGAGUGAAUCCGGUUCGGAUUUGUUGAUUUUGUGAAGAUUUGUUCUUGGUGUUCUUGGAGAAUUUUUUGGUGAUUUUCUGUUUUGGAUCUAACUGAUUUUGGAGAGAGAAAGAAAUUUCUGUUUUUGUGAUGUGACUGAUUCUGAUUUUUUUAUUUGGAUCUGACACAUCUAUUUAUAGCCUGCCAUGUGUAUUUGUGGGCCAAUGAGAAAAUGCCAUCUGGACUGAGACUGAAGUGUGCGAAAAUUCUGGACAAAAAUGCCCCUGGGACCUUUUCUGCAAAAAAAAUAAUAAAAAAGGACUGGAAAAUGAAAGUAAGGACUGAAAUGAAAUUAAAAACUGUUUGGACAAAAAAUGCAAUUUUGGGACCUCAAUUGAGGGACCAAAAUGCAAUUAAAAAUAAAAUUGAAUAAAAAACGUAAUUUGACCAAACGUAAAGCGAAACAAAAAAUAAAAUUGACAAAACGGACUAAAACGAAUCAAUGGCUUAAAUGAGGUACUUCAAAGUAACCUCUCUAUGCCGAAAUUUUGUGUGAAAUGACCAAAAUGCCCCUAGGGCUAAAAAUGACCUAAACAGAUUCAAAUUGACUUGACACUGACUCAGAUGCAAGUUUGAAAUGAAUUUAACAAGGUUUACUGAUGAAAUGUUAAAAAUCAAUCUGAAAAGACUCAGAGACAGUCACAAGGAUGAAAAUGGGUCCCACUGCAGGAAAUGACCAAAAUACCCUUCUAUACGACUUUUUGCAAAUUUUGAAAUAAACUGUAGAAAAAGCAAUGUAAUGAUUCAGAGACACUUUUGAAUGACUUACAAGACAAGUAAAGACAUUUCGAAAGGUUUUAUGCAAGAAAAACAUAGGUAAAAUUGUGAUUGAAAAUACUGCGAGGCAGAGACAAUUUGAACUGUGCAGUUGAAAUUUGAUAAUUGACAAAGUUUGAAAUGAAAUUGGGCCCAGUAUUUUUAGGUCCAAAAACAGGGUAUAACAGCUGCCCCUAUUUAAGUUUCUUUGUCUGGAGAGUCAAGAGACGGAGUCUUUGGCUUGACAGGACGAAGACACUUAAAUAUUAGCAUUUGCACUGUGUUUGGACGUAAAAAUACGCCUACCCAUUUUCAAAUAAUAUGCAUGCCAUGCAUCAUUUGGAUUAUGAAUGCAAGACCUCAUGGGGAUUGGAAUUAACAAAAUAUGUCGUAUCCAUUGCGGGAUUGGUAGACAUUGACAAAGAUAGUGAAUAGCAGAGUAACGGGAAACUAGAAACAAGUUGGACAGGUACAAGCUGUUCUUGGAUUCAAACUAGCCACUUGACCGGGGAUGAAACAAACAGACAACUGCGAGUUGUUCUUAUGGAUUCGAACUGGUCACUUCACAGGGGAUAGAGGUUACUGGACAAACAUGAGUUGUUCUUAUGGAUUCGAACUGAUAACUCACUUGGGGAUAUUGGAAAGUGCGAGUUGUUCUUAUGGAUUCGAACUGGUGACCCGACUGGGAAAAAGAGAAAAUUGGCAAGUACGAGUUGUUCUUACGGAUUCGAACUGGUGACUCGACUGGAAAAAGAGAAAAUUGACAAGUACGAGUUGUUCUUAUGGAUUCGAACUGGUGACUCGACUGAAAACAUGUAAAAUUGGCAGGUACGAGUUGUUCUUAAGGAUUCGAACUGGUUACUCGACUGAAAGCAAGGCAAAUAGACAGGUGCGAGCUUGUUCUUGGAUGCGAACUGGUUACUCCACCGGAGACAAAUACAAAAUAGACAGGCGCAAGCUGCUCUUAGAUCGAGCUAGCCACUUGAGCGAACAGAAACAAAUAGACGGGUACAAGCUGUUCUUGGACUUGAACUAGCCACUUGACCCAAAAUCAUAGACACAUAGACAGGUACGAGCUGUUCUUGGAUUCGAACUGGUAACUCGACCGGGGUCAUGGAAAAGUAGAUAGGUACGAGUUCUUCUUGGAUUCGAACUGGUCACUCGACCGAAAGCAAAGACAAAUAAACAGGUGUGAGCUUGUUCUUGGAUGCGAACUGGUUACUCCACCGGACAGAAACAGAUAGACAGGUACAAGCUGCUCUUGGAUUGAGCUAGCCACUUGACCAAACGGAAACAUAUUGACAGGUACAAGCUGCUCUUGGAUUGAGCUGGGCACUCGACCGAUAACAUAAGCAAAUUGAUAGGUACAAGCUGUUCUUGGACUUGAACUAGCCACUUGACCAAACAGAAACAUAUUCACUGGGGAUUGGUUUUUUUUUUUUUGACAAAAUAUAGAUUGAGAUUGACUUGACGUCGAUUUGAAUUGAAAGGCAGAAAUUGACCGAUAUUAUUGGCUCACAAGGUUUUGACAGAGAACCUGACAUGAGUAUCGAAUUGAGACUGAUGUUGACAUUGAAAAUGCAAUAUGCACGGAUGAUAUAACAGUUUCAUUAAAUGCAUGGGCACGUAAUAUGCAUGUAUGAAUGCUUGUAAUGCAUGACUGUUGGCAUUUUGUAGGCACGACUUCACGGGGAAGACAAGACAUCAGAGUAUUGGGCACGUAGUGGCUCGUGCUAUAUUACACAUUCUUGGAAAUCCUCUUUGGAGAUGACGUCGUUGGGAGACGUAUCGGAACCAUGGCUGAGGGCAGGUAGGUAUGCAACUCGCUGGGGAUAGAAUCUCGGAAGACUCUACUGGGAAUAAUGCCGGAUGUAUCGUGGACGUCGCAUCUAUGGUCAAUGCUUUUUGCAUGUUAUUUUCUCAAUUUCAUUCAUUCAUUUUUUGCAUCCCAUUUUUGCCUGGAUCGCCCUUUCGGGUUUUCGAUCCACCGGGGAAAUAAAUUCUUUUCAAUGCCCCAUUUUUGCCUGAACUGCCCUUUCGGGUUUUCAAUCCAGCGGGGUGCUCAUUCUUGCCUAAGCCGCCCUUCCGGGUUUUCAACUUAGCGAGCCUUUUCAUUUUCAUGCAUUUUCAUUCUGUUUUUUCAUUCUUGCCAUUGACCAAAGACUAUCCUGGAGGAGAACCUGCUUGUAACACAUAUUGAAAUAGACAUCAACAUACUCUCGCUCAUGCAUGUCUCAUUUGAAUGUACCAUGUUGCUCAGGUUUGCUUUUCAAAAAAAACUUUUUCAAUUUUCAAAAUGUUUGUUUCGAGCAUUAUCAUUAUCAAAAUAGAAAGAAAAUGUUUUGUAUAUAGCUUUGAAAGUAAAAAGAAAGCAGAGUUUCAAACAAAAGCACAAGCUCAAAUAGAUGUAUAAGAGUGGUGGUCAGCCGAAGGCGUGACUCCACGGAUUUACAAAGCUUGGAAAAUGGUAAUUUUAUUGGUUGGUGGUACAUUGAACACAGUAAUCAUGACAUCUCCUAGAAACUUUGAAUUCGCAAGCAUAAGAGCUUUUGAUGAAAAUGGUCAUUAACAGCUGCAGAUGCCCCAAGGGGGACGGUGGUUGGCCAGAUAUAGUUACUUGCCUUUUGUUUCAAUCUCAUUUUUGCAUGAACCGCCCUUCCGGGUUUUCGGCUCAUCGAGACGCUCAUUCUUGCCUGAGUUGUGUACAAUCUCAGCGAGCUUUUCAUAUUUGUUUUUUGUCCCUUAUUUUUUCCUGGACCGCCCUUUCGGGUUUACCAUCCACCGGGAAGCGCAUUUUUGCCUAGGCCGCCCUUUCGGGUUUUCGACCUACCACGCUGUUCUUUUCAUAUUUUUAGGCAAAGUAUUUCUUGACUAUAUCGGCAUUCACUGGAUUUGGAAGUUCCACACCAUCCAUGUGUGUAAGGAUUAAAGCACCACCGGAGAAGGCCUUCUUGACAACAUAAGGACCUUCAUAGUUAGGCGUCCACUUGCCCCUUGGGUCGGGUUGCUGGCUUACCCUCCUUUUCAAUACAAGUUCCCCUACCUUGAAUUCUCGAGGAUGGACUUUCUUGUCAAAGGCAGUCUUCAUUCUUGCUUGAUAUGACUGUCCACGAGCCAUGACAUCCAUACGUUUUUCCUCAAUCAAAUUCAACUGAUCAUACCGGCUUUGGCACCAUUCAGCCUCAGAUAACUUUGCUUCCAUUAUCACACGGAGAGAUGGGAUCUCCACUUCCAAAGGAAGAACUGCUUCCAUACCAUAUACAAGAGAGAAAGGGGUUGCCCCGGUUGAACUGCGCACGGUAGUGCGGUAGCCAUGCAGAGCAUAGGGUAACAUCUCAUGCCAGUCCUUGUAAGUGGUUACCAUCUUCUGGACAAUUCUCUUGAUAUUCUUGUUGGCGGCCUCAACUGCACCAUUCAUCUGAGGUCUAUAGGGAGAAGAGUUAUGAUGCUCAAUUUUGAAUUCUUCACAAAGAGCUUGCACCACAUUGUUGUUCAGGUUGGUACCAUUGUCGGUAAUAAUCUUGCUGGGAACACCAUAUCGACAGAUGAUGUUGUUCUUGAUGAACUUAGCUACCACUUGCUUGGUCACAUUAGUAUAAGGUGCUGCUUCAACCCACUUGGUGAAGUAGUCAAUUGCCACUAAAAUGAAACGAUGACCAUUUGAAGCCUUCGGUUCAAUUCUUCCAAUCAUGUCGAUGCCCCACAUUGAGAACGGCCAUGGGGAUGAAAUAACAUUGAGGGCGUGCGGAGGCACAUGAAUCUUAUCAGCAUAGAUUUGACAUUUGUGGCACUUUCUGGCGUGCUGGUAGCAAUCAUGCUCCAUGGCCAUCCAGUAGUAACCUGCUCGUAACAACUUCCUUGACAUAGUAUGCCCUGUAGCGUGGGUCCCAAAGGUACCGUCAUGUACAUCAUGCAUUAACUGCUCUGCUUCGUGUUCAUCAACACAUCUUAACAAUACCAUGUCAUAGUUUCUCUUGUACAGAAUAUCUCCAUCUAACAGGAAUCUACUGGCCAAUCUUCUCAGGGUCUUCUUGUCUUGUUUGGAAGCACCCGGCGGAUACUCACGGCUUAGCAAGAACUGUUUGAUGUCGUAGUACCAGGGUUUAUAGUCAACCACAUUUUCGCCAGCCUGAUCGAUCACAUCCCCAAUAGCAAACACAUGCGAAGGUCUUUCAAGGCGUUGCACUUUGAUUAUUGGCACAUCAUUCCAAUGGUUUACUCGAAACAUGGAGGAUAGAGUAGCAAGAGCAUCAGCCAUUUGGUUCUCAUCACGAGGAAUAUGGUGCAGCUCAACCUUUGUAAAAUAUGUCAGCAAACGUCUCGCAUAAUCACGAUAAGGAAUCAACUUAGCAUGAUGGGUCUCCCAUUCACCCUUUCUCUAAUUGAUGACGAGCGCAGAAUCUCCAUAGAUGUCGAGGUGUUUGAUUCUCAUGUCAAUUGCUUCCUCGAUCCCAAAGAUACAUGCUUCAUACUCAGCCAUAUUGUUGGUACAUUCGAACAGAAUUCGGGCGGUAAAAGGAAUGUGAUGCCCCUAUGGGGAUACAAUGACUGCCCCAAUUCCUUUACCAUAAGCAUUGACAGCACCAUCAAAGACUAAACCCCACUUGCUAUUGGGAUCUGGACCUUCAUCAAUCAACGGUUCUUCGCAGUCUUUUGAUUUUAAAUACAUGAUCUCUUCAUCGGGGAAAUCGAAUUCAAUUGGUUGAUAAUCAUCAAGAGGUUGGUAAGCAAGGUGAUCGGCAAGAAUGCUACCUUUGAUUGCCUUUUGAGUUUUGAACACAAUAUCAUAUUCAGACAAAAGCAUCUGCCAGCGUGCAAUCUUCCCAGUAACAACAGCUUUCUCAAAGAUAUACUUUAUCGGAUCCAUUCUGGAUAUCAACCAAGUUGUAUGAUUCACCAAAUAAUGACGCAGGCGUUUGGCAGCCCAAGCUAGAGCACAACAAGUCUUCUCAAGCAUUGUAUACCGAGUUUCACAGUCGGUGAACUUCUUGCUCAGAUAGUAGAUAACAUGUUCUUUCUUUCCAGUCUCAUCUUGUUGACCAAGCACGCAUCCCACAGAUUCAUCAAACACUGACAAAUACAAAAUCAAAGGCCUUCCUUCCACGGGAGGGACAAGGAUAGGUGGUUCCAGCAGGUAAUUCUUGAUGCUAUCAAAAGCUUCCUGGCAUUCAUCGUUCCAUACAAUAGGCUGAUUCUUGCUCAAGCAGUCGAGUGAUCUCAUAUGGUAUAUCAUCAUCCUCUUCAUCUUCGGCUUCAUACACAGGGAAUUCAAAAUUUGGAGGAACCGUAGGAUUACUGUGUUCAACGGGUUUAUUAUGGUUCAAACUGCAUAGAAUGGUUGAAUGAUUUUAGAAAAUGGUUUUUUUUUCUUUUAUGCAGUUCUUUGAAAUUGAUAAGAAAAAUAAAGAUGUUUUGGUUUUUUCUGGUAUUACCAUUAUUUCCAAGAAAAAAAGAAAGAAAAGAAAAAAAAAAAACACUAAAAAAUAAAAGUCGUGAAAGAAACGACGAUUUUUGUUAAUAACGGCGAUGCCGAAACAAACACGCCCUUCCAGAAAUAUCACUUUCGCUUCGGGCAGAGCGAGAGGAUGGUUAUUUUGAAAAACAAAACACUUAAGCAACAAGACGCAUUAUUCGGAAACAUGCAUGAUUGAAUGAAUGUUGAUGGCAUCACAAUUUCUCGCAAUGCCUCCUGGUAUAACAAACAUAGGCCUAGGACUACAUCCAGUCGCCUCUUCAGUAAUUGCAUUGAUAAACUCAGCACUGUAGAAGAUUCAUGUGGCAUUGUACUUGUAAGGAAUAGCCUUUGUAGAAGUAUAAGGUACUGGUCCGGGCAGCCUUAUCACUAGAGGCUCAACAUUCUCUUUUGAAGGCACGCUCUUGACGGGCGGAUCAUGAAAGACUGGCACAAUCACACAGACGUCGCUGACAGUCAAAUAAUUGUUGUUCAUCAAGCUCUGGAUGUCAUUUUAAACAACGCAGCAACCCAAAGGAUUACAGAAUCAUUCUUGGCAAUUGGCAUGAUCAUGGUCAAACAGAGAGGCUUGGCAUAACUUGAUGUGUAGUGGCACCAGAGGAGUUGUAACAUUACGGACGUCAAGUCCGGGAGCUUCCUCAUAUACCUCAAUCAUGUUCACAGCAGCGUGAUUUGGAAGAGGGUUGUCGAGGACAUGAGGGACGUUGUUCUCAAAAGUCAACUUUCCUUGGUUAAUGAGCUUCUUCACAAUGUAUUUCAAAGCAUAGCAUCCUUCGACAUCAUGACCCAGAGCACCUUGAUGGAAAUCACAUUUGAGGUCAGACCGGAACCUGGGAGGUAACGGAUCAGGUGGAGGCUUCCCCUGUCUGAUUGCGCAGUGCCCUCUGAGAAGUAGAGUCGGGAGCAACUCAGCAUAUAGCAUUGGUAUCAGAGGAAAGGUAGGUCUAGCUUGUUGCUGCUGUCGUUGUUGGUGAACCGGUGGAUGAUUGUUCCUGGGCGGCUAGCAGAGCAGUCAUGGUGUCAUUGACCUUAGCCAAUUCUUCCCUCAGAGAAGUUAACUCGGUACGGAGCUGCGUGUUCUCUUCUUCCAUAGCCUUUUUCCUUCUUCUGUAUUCUCGGGUUCGAUCGAUUUUGUCAGGUUCGUAGAUCUUCUGAGCACGAGCCACUUUUCACACUGUGGCAGAGGAACCAGGAGGUAGUGAGCAUUUGGAAGCCUUUGUGACCAAUGCAUGAUGCAUAUGAUGCAUGAUAUGUACAAAUGCAAAUGCAAAAGUUUUCUUUUUUCAUCGAAGGAUUUUUAAACAAAUUAGAAAUCUUGCAAAUAAUCAAAACUACAUAGUAUUUUCAACAGGAAGACUUUGAAAUUUCAACAAGAUAAACAAAUGAAGCCCUCAAGCAUAGGAAGUAGUCGGAGAAUCAUCGGACUCGGAAUCUGAAUCACAGUAUCUGGCAAAGAAGUCUCGUCGUCCUCUGGCUCUCUUGGAAUCCCUCAUAAGCAGCUCGUCUUUCUCUUCCAAUUCCCUCCGGACCUUAGCUAGUUCCUUCUUCAACAUCAGGUUCUCAUGAGUCUUCUGCUCAUCUCUACCAUCCAAAGUCAUGAUUAGAUUCUCAGCUUGAUUGUACCGAGCUUUCCACACUUGCUUCUCACGACUCUCCAUAGCUAGAUGCUCCUGAUACAUAUCCUGAGUCGCGGGGAGUAAAGGUAGAGGCAUAGAUGGAGUAGACGAAGACACGUAUCUCAUAGCUGGAUAAGGCAUACCAAUCUCCUCAGCUCGAUCUAUCACCCACUGAGUAUAGGCCUCAUGAGCAACACCAGAUCUCACACCUAGAUGCUUCACACUCUUCCUUCGAACCUUGGACCAAGCAUCCAUGAAAGCUUUCCUUUGUCCGGUAGGAGCAUUCGUGUAGAAGAAGAACUCUGGAGAUGUAGCAAGAUUGAUGGGCUUCGACUUCAUAGGGAAACCAAACUGUCUCAUAGCAAGCUCGGGAUUGUAGUUGAUUCCUCCACGGGUACCAAGAAGAGGUACAUUGAGAAAGUCUCCACAACCCAUAAUGAUUUCCUUCACUUGAGCGGCAGGAGUGAGCCAGACGACCUCAUUAGGAGUGAGGGCCAUAAUCCGCUGCGAGUAGGACCAGUUCUCCGAGUUAUCAUGGAAGGAACUCGGAAGGUGCGAAAUAAACCACCUAUACAAAAGAGAUAUGCAGCAAAGAAUAUACCCACGGCCCUUGAGAGUCCUGUCAUGAAUGGCGUGGUAGGUAUCCGCUAGCAAAGUAGGAACCGGGUUCUUGGAAUGGAAGAUCUCAAUAGCAUUCAUGUCCACGAAGUUGUCGAGGUUCGGAAAGAGAAUGAGCCCGUAGAUAAGCAAAGCAAGAAUAGCCUCGAGCGUAUCCUGACAAGUAGUACUGAGAUUAGCUUGAUCAAGAAGAUACUUUGAAGUGAACCCCCGGAUGUGAGACUUGGUAAUAAGAUGGUUGGAGACGUCGGAAGUCUUGAGGUAGAGAUCCUUAGCAAUAACCAGAGGAGUAAGAGAAGUCCCGGGACCGGUGAAAGGCGUCUUCUCGGCUAUAGGUAAACCCACUAGAUUGGAGUAAGCCUCGAGAGUAGGAACCAACUGGAAGUCCGGGAAGGUGAAGCAACGGAAGCUUGGAUCAUAAAAUUGCACUAGAGUGUGCACUAGCUUCUCGUCCACAUCGGUUUGGAGCAAAGUAAGCAAUCCCCCAUACCGGAGUCGGAACCCUGUUUGACUCUUGACCUUGAGUGCCAACUCUCUUAAACUGACCAAAUCCACUUCCUUGAACUUGUAGCACUUAGUCUUCUUCAUACCUGUGAUUAUUUACAAAAAUUUCCAUUUGUUUAGGCCCUUCGAUGAAUGCAUGAAAAAUGUUUAUGCAUGAAUGCAUGUAUGCAUGAUUGUGUUGUUUAGUUACAAAGAACAAGAUGGGUUGAGAUUCAAAGUAACAGGGCUACGGCUGGACACGGCGUCCGGUGAACUAAGGCUUUGGAUAGUAGUAACCAAGGUUCUAACACAGUUCCCAAACUGCAACCUCUCUCACAUAUAUCAUGGUAGUACAGGACGACACCCGUUCCAUGAUUAUUUGUGAGAAGGUCUAGUUUGAGUGUAGUAUCGCGUGACGACUAAAGUUUGAGACAACACUCAAUUUAGCCACCGCACUACGUCCUAAAAAGGCUAGGAUGGGUUUGGUAACUACGGUUCAUAGCUUCGUCGAACAAUUGAAAGUGAAGUGCCUAAGCAUGACAACACACGCCGACAAUAUCACCUUCAAAAUGCCUCAGCUAUGUGAGAUUGAUCGCAUAAUCCAAUACACGAGGCAACCCCCGGAUCGAAUUGUCGAUUAUAUCUCUACCUAAACAUAAGUUCACUCAGCCCGGGUAUAGGACUUUUGAUAUUCUCACCCCACACGUCAAAUGAAAGUAAACAAGUAUUCACAUAUGUAAGCAAUAAAACAAAGCGUAAAUAAACUAAGGAAAACUAGGCGUGACCCGCUAAAAAAAUCCCCAGUGAAGUCGCCAUUUCUGUUAUCAUGGUUUUUGGGUGCCAAGCCAUUAAUUGGACUUGAACCUUUUGACCGUUGAUAUUCUCUAUUUUUUCUUGGGAAGGGCAAAAUUGAGAAAAACCCUUAGAUUCUAAGUUCGGGGGUCGUUUUCGCUACGGGAAGGUGUUAGGCACCCGGAGCGAUUAUGGUACUCCAUAAGAGCCGCUCUCCUAAGUUGAUUUCUACGCUUUAUUUUUAUUGCCUACUUAUUGAAAGAAAAGAAGUUUUAUUUGAGUGAAGAAUGGGGGUGAGAAGAAGUAGAAUUUGAUUUUAUUUUGGCUUGGAGGGGUUAAAGUCCCUUGCCUACGUACCGUUUUACGGGAUCAAAACCGGCGUAGUUCUUGCUAAAAAAGACUUAUUGUUUUUUUUGUUUUAAUUGUUUGAUUUUAAAUUUUGAAAAUGAUUUUGAAGAAAAGGAUUGAGAGGCUUCAUGAGCAUUAGAGUAUGAAAAAGUGGGGGUUUGUUUAGUGAUUUUGCAAAAAAGUCUAAAUGAUUAGAUUUAUUUGAGAAUUUUAUUAAGAAAAUAAAAGGUGAAAAAUUGUUGGAGUUUUGACUCCAUUUUUAUGAAAAAUAUUUGAAGCGAACUUGUUUGCAUAUUUUUUGGAAAAAAUUGGAUUUUCUCUAAGUGUUUAAACCUAAGCAUUCAUCUAACCAUGCAAUCCUAGCCAUACAUCUACACAUGCAAUCCUAGGCAUACAUCUAGGGUGAGUGUGUGCGUGCCGGUGCGCCAUAGUGUCCAUAGUCCAUAUUACAAAAAUUGCCUAAAUACAUUCUAUGGCCCCUUUGCCAAGCUACAAACCAAUGAUAACAAAUUACAUCACCGAAUGAAUUAAAAUUUGCAAAAAUAAAUGCUAAGCUAAAGAAAGUGGAGGAGAUAGUGAAAUGCUAUGAGUGAAGUCACAUAAGGAACAAAAUGUUAGUGAAACAAGGAAAAAUAUAAUGGAAAUGAUGAAAAAUGCACCAAAUGAAUAUGCAAUAAAAAGGGGUAAAAACAUGAGAAUUUAUCAAUCACAAUAUGUAAAAAUGCAUCAAGAACAUAUAUGGAAUUUUAAUGAGCAAAAAUUAAAGAACGAAGUAAAGGAAAUAAAUGCAAAAAUAAGCAAAUAAAUUCUAAUACUUAGAGGAAAAAUUAAAAUGAUAGGGAAAUAUUUUUAGAAAAAUUUUUAGAAGCAUAAAACACCAAGAAAGUGUAAAAAAGGUAUUUAAAACGCAAUUAAAAAGCAGUUAAAAAAAAACUCAGCAGGAUUUAAUCUGGACCGUUGGAUGAAUCCAGAGGUCCAGAUCUAGCCCUCAAGAUCACAUCACAGCCACUUGAUCAAAGAUCAAAGGGUCCAGAAAAAGGCACAAAAGAUAGUGUAAAAUGCAGGAAGCACAGUGACCGUUAGAUCAAAGAUCUAACGGUUCAAACAGAAGAUAUACCAUAUUUCACACAAAAAGUCAUGCACAGGAUUCAAAAUCAAACACACAGCAGCCAUCAGAUCUUGGAACAAUCCAGAUCUGAUGGUUCACAGAGCGAGGGAACACAACAAGAGCACGCACGCGCGCGCGUGGGAUCGGAGGGAGUAUAAAAAGGAUUUCUCUCACAAAAAUCUCACAAUUUCUUUCCUCUUCUCUCUCUAAGUUAAACUUAGAGAGAGAAGCUCUCACUUCUCUCUAAAAACAGCCGGUCGGAGCUGAUGUGGAGGUGGCGGCCGGAGCUUUUCCGGCGCGGUGGCCGGCCGGUUUCCGGCGGCGGCGCCACCGCGUCGGAAUUUUUUUUUUUUUUUUUUUUUUAAUUUUUAUACCAAAAGCUUCGUCUCCUCCUCCUCUACUCAAAUCCGGUGCUAGUUUUAAAAAGGGGUGAGAGAUUCGUCGUAGAUCUACGUUUGAACUUUCGGAAUUUUUUCACUCUUUUUGUAAAAAAAGCUUACGGAUCUAGAUAUCCUUUUCGCUCUAGAGUCCGAAUCCGGCCUCAAAAUUUCAAAAAUCCGAACGUACAAGCCUAGAUCUACAAAUCUUGAUUCGUAACAAACUUUUCACAUGUGUAUAUGCGCGAAAACGAGGGAAAAAAGUGUUACCGUCGUCGUGAAACGGAGAAAAAAAAAAUCCGAGCCUCCUCUUCUCUCCGCCGCGCGCGCGCGGAUUUGCUCCGGUGGUGCCGCUUUUGCUCGAAAAUCCGGUACGGAUUUGGUGUUGGUGUGAUGAUUCGCGGUGGUUUUGAAUGAUUCCGGUUCGGAUUUGUUGAUUUUGUGAUGAUUUGAGUUGGUUUUGAGUGAAUCCGGUUCGGAUUUGUUGAUUUUGUGAAGAUUUGUUCUUGGUGUUCUUGGAGAAUUUUUUGGUGAUUUUCUGUUUUGGAUCUAACUGAUUUUGGAGAGAGAAAGAAAUUUCUGUUUUUGUGAUGUGACUGAUUCUGAUUUUUUUAUUUGGAUCUGACACAUCUAUUUAUAGCCUGCCAUGUGUAUUUGUGGGCCAAUGAGAAAAUGCCAUCUGGACUGAGACUGAAGUGUGCGAAAAUUCUGGACAAAAAUGCCCCUGGGACCUUUUCUGCAAAAAAAAUAAUAAAAAAGGACUGGAAAAUGAAAGUAAGGACUGAAAUGAAAUUAAAAACUGUUUGGACAAAAAAUGCAAUUUUGGGACCUCAAUUGAGGGACCAAAAUGCAAUUAAAAAUAAAAUUGAAUAAAAAACGUAAUUUGACCAAACGUAAAGCGAAACAAAAAAUAAAAUUGACAAAACGGACUAAAACGAAUCAAUGGCUUAAAUGAGGUACUUCAAAGUAACCUCUCUAUGCCGAAAUUUUGUGUGAAAUGACCAAAAUGCCCCUAGGGCUAAAAAUGACCUAAACAGAUUCAAAUUGACUUGACACUGACUCAGAUGCAAGUUUGAAAUGAAUUUAACAAGGUUUACUGAUGAAAUGUUAAAAAUCAAUCUGAAAAGACUCAGAGACAGUCACAAGGAUGAAAAUGGGUCCCACUGCAGGAAAUGACCAAAAUACC
Molecule: long non-coding RNA, 13905 nt
Filed under: Medicago truncatula (barrel medic)
Lineage: Eukaryota; Viridiplantae; Streptophyta; Magnoliopsida; Fabales; Fabaceae
Description: long non-coding RNA (MTRU_LNC004048)
Source: RNAcentral